This 253-nucleotide ribosomal RNA is filed under the name uncultured bacterium. RNAcentral's name for it is "partial 16S ribosomal RNA". It matches the Rfam family "Bacterial small subunit ribosomal RNA", at positions 524 to 776 of the family's 1533-position model. The record is from RNAcentral.
UACGUAGGGACCAAGCGUUGUUCGGAUUUACUGGGCGUAAAGGGCGCGUAGGCGGCGCGGUAAGUCACUUGUGAAAUCUCUGAGCUUAACUCAGAACGGCCAAGUGAUACUGCAGUGCUAGAGUGUGGAAGGGGCAAUCGGAAUUCUUGGUGUAGCGGUGAAAUGCGUAGAUAUCAAGUGGAACACCAGUGGCGAAGGCGAGUCCCUGGAAAACUCCUGACACUGAGGCACGAAAGCUAGGGGAGCAAACAGG